This 253-nucleotide ribosomal RNA is filed under the name uncultured bacterium. RNAcentral's name for it is "partial 16S ribosomal RNA". It matches the Rfam family "Bacterial small subunit ribosomal RNA", at positions 524 to 776 of the family's 1533-position model. The record is from RNAcentral.
UACAGAGGUCUCAAGCGUUGUUCGGAUUCAUUGGGCGUAAAGGGUGCGUAGGUGGCGGGGCAAGUCUGGUGUGAAAUCCCGGGGCUCAACCCUGGAACUGCACUGGAUACUGCUUUGCUAGAGUACUGGAGAGGGAACUGGAAUUUACGGUGUAGCAGUGAAAUGCGUAGAUAUCGUAAGGAAGACCAGUGGCGAAGGCGAGUUCCUGGACAGUUACUGGCACUGAGGCACGAAGGCCAGGGGAGCAAGCGGG